Pan troglodytes (chimpanzee) is the source of this 305-nucleotide long non-coding RNA. RefSeq lists it as uncharacterized. The record is from RefSeq and is a predicted model, not a curated record. Lineage: Eukaryota; Metazoa; Chordata; Mammalia; Primates; Hominidae. The transcript is spliced from 3 exons.
GGGUUUCGCUCUGUUGCCCAGGCUGGACUGCAAGGCACAGUCAUAGCUCACUGCAACCUCCGCCUCCCAGGCUCAAUCGAUCUUCCCGCCUCAGCCUCCCAAAGACAGGGUCUCACUAUAUUGCCCAGGCUGGCCUCAAACUCCUGCACUCCAGUGAUCCUCUGGUCUCAGCCUCCCACGUAGCUAGGACAAUAGAAGUGCUUAUCAGAAAAGGCUGUUCAAAGACCACCGGUUGUUUUAACUGCUGAAAGCAAGCCUGCGUCUUGGUAAGACUACUCCAGAAAGACCCCUACGAGAUGCUUACA